Molecule: ribosomal RNA, 135 nt
Filed under: Pteropus vampyrus (large flying fox)
Lineage: Eukaryota; Metazoa; Chordata; Mammalia; Chiroptera; Pteropodidae
Source: RNAcentral
GUCUACGGCCCAUGCCCACCCUGAAUGUUGCCCCGACCUCAUCUCAUCUCGGAAUCUAGAAGGGUUAAUACUCCGGUUAGUACUUGGUUAGUACUUGGAUGGGAGACUACCCAGGAAUACCAGGUGCUGUGGGCG